RNAcentral lists this ribosomal RNA (465 nucleotides) under uncultured bacterium. RNAcentral's name for it is "partial 16S ribosomal RNA". It matches the Rfam family "Bacterial small subunit ribosomal RNA", at positions 28 to 507 of the family's 1533-position model. The record is from RNAcentral.
GACGAACGCUGGCGGCGUGCUUAACACAUGCAAGUCGAACGGUAAGGCUCCAGCUUGCUGGGGUACACGAGUGGCGAACGGGUGAGUAACACGUGGGUGACCUGCCCUGCACUUCGGGAUAAGCCUGGGAAACUGGGUCUAAUACCGGAUAGGACUGCACCGUGAGGGUGUGGUGGAAAGUUUUUUCGGUGUGGGAUGGGCCCGCGGCCUAUCAGCUUGUUGGUGGGGUAAUGGCCUACCAAGGCGGCGACGGGUAGCCGGCCUGAGGGGGUGGACGGCCACAUUGGGACUGAGACACGGCCCAGACUCCUACGGGAGGCAGCAGUGGGGAAUAUUGCACAAUGGGCGGAAGCCUGAUGCAGCGACGCCGCGUGGGGGAUGACGGCCUUCGGGUUGUAAACUCCUUUCACCAUCGACGAAGGGUUUCUGACGGUAGAUGGAGAAGAAGCACCGGCUAACUACGUG